GACGAACGCUGGCGGCGUGCUUAACACAUGCAAGUCGAACGGAAAGGCCCUGCUCUUGUGGGGUGCUCGAGUGGCGAACGGGUGAGUAACACGUGUGUAACCUGCCCUUGUCUUUGGGAUAACUUCUGGAAACUGGGGCUAAUACCGGAGAUGAGCUCCUGCUGCAUGGUGGGGGUUGGAAAGUUUCGGCGGUGCGGGAUGGACUCGCGGCUUACGAGCCUGAUGGUGGGGUAGUGGCUUACCAGGGUUUUGACGGGUAGCCGGCCUGGGAGGGUGACCGGCCACAUUGGGACUGAGAUACGGCCCAGACUCCUACGGGAGGCAGCAGUGGAGAAUAUUGCACAAUGAGCGGAAGCCUGAUGCAGCAACGCCGCGUGCGUGAUGACGGCCUUCGGGUUGUAAACCGCUUUCGCCUGUGACGAAGCGUGAGUGACGGUAAUGGGUAAAGAAGCACCGGCUAACUACGUG
Molecule: ribosomal RNA, 468 nt
Filed under: uncultured bacterium
Lineage: Bacteria
Description: partial 16S ribosomal RNA
Rfam family: Bacterial small subunit ribosomal RNA
Source: RNAcentral